This 245-nucleotide ribosomal RNA is filed under the name uncultured bacterium. Its description in RNAcentral is "partial 16S ribosomal RNA". It matches the Rfam family "Bacterial small subunit ribosomal RNA", at positions 524 to 768 of the family's 1533-position model. The record is from RNAcentral.
UACAGAGGUGGCAAGCGUUGUUCGGAAUUAUUGGGUGUAAAGGGUAUGUAGGUGUCCCAUCAAGUCCUUCUUAAAAUACUUUGGCUCAACCAAAGAACCGGGAAGGAUACUGACGGGAUUGAGUAUAGGAGAGGAGAGCGGAAUUCCCGGUGUAAGGGUGAAAUCUGUAGAUAUCGGGAGGAACACCAGUGGCGAAAGCGGCUCUCUGGACUAAUACUGACACUGAAAUACGAAAGCAAGGGGAU